CCUACGGGUGGCUGCAGUGGGGAAUAUUGCGCAAUGGGCGAAAGCCUGACGCAGCGACGCCGCGUGAGGGAUGAAGGUUUUCGGAUUGUAAACCUCUGUCAGCAGGGAAGAACGGUCACUGUGCUAAUCAGCAGUGACUUGACGGUACCUGCAAAGGAAGCACCGGCUAACUCCGUGCCAGCAGCCGCGGUAAUACGGAGGGUGCGAGCGUUAAUCGGAAUUACUGGGCGUAAAGCGCUUGUAGUCGGUAUGUCAAGUCAAGGGUGAAAUCCCCGCGCUCAACGUGGGAACUGCCUUUGAAACUGGCAAGCUGGAGUGUAGGAGAGGAUAGUGGAAUUCCAGGUGUAGGGGUGAAAUGCGUAGAUAUCUGGAGGAACAUCAGUGGCGAAGGCGGCUGACUGGCACGUAACUGACGCUGAGGAGCGAAAGCGUGGGUAGCAAACAGGAUUAGAUACCCCGGUAGUC
This 465-nucleotide ribosomal RNA is filed under the name uncultured bacterium. RNAcentral describes it as "partial 16S ribosomal RNA". It matches the Rfam family "Bacterial small subunit ribosomal RNA", at positions 338 to 795 of the family's 1533-position model. The record is from RNAcentral.